This 492-nucleotide ribosomal RNA is filed under the name uncultured bacterium. RNAcentral's name for it is "partial 16S ribosomal RNA". It matches the Rfam family "Bacterial small subunit ribosomal RNA", at positions 28 to 507 of the family's 1533-position model. The record is from RNAcentral.
GAUGAACGCUAGCUACAGGCUUAACACAUGCAAGUCGAGGGGAAACGACAUCGAAAGCUUGCUUUUGAUGGGCGUCGACCGGCGCACGGGUGAGUAACGCGUAUCCAACCUGCCCACCACUUGGGGAUAACCUUGCGAAAGUAAGACUAAUACCCAAUGAUAUCUCUAGAAGACAUCUGAAAGAGAUUAAAGAUUUAUCGGUGAUGGAUGGGGAUGCGUCUGAUUAGCUUGUUGGCGGGGUAACGGCUCACCAAGGCAACGAUCAGUAGGGGUUCUGAGAGGAAGGUCCCCCACAUUGGAACUGAGACACGGUCCAAACUCCUACGGGAGGCAGCAGUGAGGAAUAUUGGUCAAUGGACGAGAGUCUGAACCAGCCAAGUAGCGUGCAGGAAGACGGCCCUAUGGGUUGUAAACUGCUUUUAUAAGGGAAUAAAGUGAGUCUCGUGAGACUUUUUGCAUGUACCUUAUGAAUAAGGACCGGCUAAUUCCGUG